Molecule: long non-coding RNA, 113 nt
Organism: Xenia sp. Carnegie-2017
Lineage: Eukaryota; Metazoa; Cnidaria; Anthozoa; Malacalcyonacea; Xeniidae
Exons: 3
Source: RefSeq, a predicted model, not a curated record
AUUAAACCAACUUGGGGUGUUCAAAUUUGUAAGAUGGCUGAGAUUCAAGCAGUUAAAUCAGUUUGCGUUUCAUGCAAGAAGGAAUGUGGAAGCCAUUUUUGCAAAGUUUGCAA